Molecule: ribosomal RNA, 84 nt
Filed under: Thalassospira sp.
Lineage: Bacteria; Pseudomonadati; Pseudomonadota; Alphaproteobacteria; Rhodospirillales; Thalassospiraceae
Description: partial 16S ribosomal RNA
Rfam family: Bacterial small subunit ribosomal RNA
Source: RNAcentral
UUGGAUUGAACAUGAGAGUUUGAUCCUGGCUCAGAACGAACGCUGGCGGCAGGCCUAACACAUGCAAGUCGGACGAGAAGGUUC